This 472-nucleotide ribosomal RNA is filed under the name uncultured bacterium. RNAcentral describes it as "bacterial SSU rRNA". It matches the Rfam family "Bacterial small subunit ribosomal RNA", at positions 355 to 825 of the family's 1533-position model. The record is from RNAcentral.
UGGGGAAUAUUGGACAAUGGGCGAAAGCCUGAUCCAGCCAUGCCGCGUGUGUGAAGAAGGUCUUCGGAUUGUAAAGCACUUUAAGUUGGGAGGAAGGGCCAUUACCUAAUACGUGAUGGUUUUGACGUUACCGACAGAAUAAGCACCGGCUAACUCUGUGCCAGCAGCCGCGGUAAUACAGAGGGUGCAAGCGUUAAUCGGAAUUACUGGGCGUAAAGCGCGCGUAGGUGGUUUGUUAAGUUGGAUGUGAAAUCCCCGGGCUCAACCUGGGAACUGCAUUCAAAACUGACAAGCUAGAGUAUGGUAGAGGGUGGUGGAAUUUCCUGUGUAGCGGUGAAAUGCGUAGAUAUAGGAAGGAACACCAGUGGCGAAGGCGACCACCUGGACUGAUACUGACACUGAGGUGCGAAAGCAUGGGGAGCAAACAGGAUUAGAUACCCCUGUAGUCCCUGAGCGGGCUGGCAAGGCGCAU